RNAcentral lists this ribosomal RNA (469 nucleotides) under uncultured bacterium. RNAcentral's name for it is "partial 16S ribosomal RNA". It matches the Rfam family "Bacterial small subunit ribosomal RNA", at positions 28 to 507 of the family's 1533-position model. The record is from RNAcentral.
GACGAACGCUGGCGGCGUGCUUAACACAUGCAAGUCGAACGGAAAGGCCCUGCUUGCAGGGUGCUCGAGUGGCGAACGGGUGAGUAACACGGGGGUGCUCUGCCCCUUACUUUGGGAUAAGCCUGGGCAACUGGGUCUAAUACUGGAUAGGACCAUGCUGUAGGUGGUGUGGUGGGAAGAUUAGUUUCGGUAAGGGAUGAGGUCGCGGCCUAUCAGCUUGUUGGUGGGGUAAUGGCCUACGAAGGCGUCGACGGGUAGCCGGCCUGAGAGGGUGGACGGCAAGAUUGGGACUGCGACACGGCCCAGAAUCCUACGGGAGGCAGCAGUGGGGAAAAGUGUAAAAUGGGCGCAAGCCGGAUGCAGCGACGCCGCGCGGGGGAUGACGGCCUUCGGGUUGUAAACUACUUCCAGCCAUGACGAAGCCCUUGUGGUGACGGUAGUGGUAGAAGAAGCACCGGCUAACUACGUG